UAGAUCAUGUAUGUGCCUGCCGUCAAGUU
RNAcentral lists this small RNA (29 nucleotides) under Bombyx mori (domestic silkworm). Its description in RNAcentral is "piRNA piR-bmo-1866810". Lineage: Eukaryota; Metazoa; Arthropoda; Insecta; Lepidoptera; Bombycidae. The record is from RNAcentral.